This 253-nucleotide ribosomal RNA is filed under the name uncultured bacterium. RNAcentral describes it as "partial 16S ribosomal RNA". It matches the Rfam family "Bacterial small subunit ribosomal RNA", at positions 524 to 776 of the family's 1533-position model. The record is from RNAcentral.
UACAGAGGGUGCGAGCGUUAAUCGGAAUUACUGGGCGUAAAGCGCACGUAGGCGGCUUGGUAUGUCGGGUGUGAAAUCCCCGGGCUCAACCUGGGAACUGCAUCCGAAACUGCCCUGCUAGAGUAUGGGAGAGGGAAGUGGAAUUUCCGGUGUAGCGGUGAAAUGCGUAGAUAUCGGAAGGAACAUCAGUGGCGAAGGCGACUUCCUGGACCAAUACUGACGCUCAGGUGCGAAAGCGUGGGGAGCGAACAGG